RNAcentral lists this ribosomal RNA (253 nucleotides) under uncultured bacterium. Its description in RNAcentral is "partial 16S ribosomal RNA". It matches the Rfam family "Bacterial small subunit ribosomal RNA", at positions 524 to 776 of the family's 1533-position model. The record is from RNAcentral.
GACGGAGGAUGCAAGCGUUAUCCGGAAUGAUUGGGCGUAAAGCGUCCGCAGGUGGCAGUUCAAGUCUGCUGUCAAAGACCGGGGCUUAACUUCGGAAAGGCAGUGGAAACUGAACAGCUGGAGUAUGGUAGGGGCAGAGGGAAUUCCUGGUGUAGCGGUGAAAUGCGUAGAGAUCAGGAAGAACAUCGGUGGCGAAGGCGCUCUGCUGGACCAUAACUGACACUCAGGGACGAAAGCUAGGGGAGCGAAUGGG